This is a non-coding RNA of Anas platyrhynchos (mallard), 909 nucleotides long. The record is from RefSeq and is a predicted model, not a curated record. NCBI's taxonomy places the organism in Eukaryota, Metazoa, Chordata, Aves, Anseriformes, Anatidae.
UUCAGGUGGGCCUGGUGGAGCACCUGAGCUGUGCCUGGAGAGCCUAACCCACCUGCUCUGUGGGGCUUCACAUUGACUUCAGGCUCUCUGCAUGGGGUGGCUGCUGGGGAAAUCUGGAGAGGAGAUGGGUUGGAUUGGAGAUGGCAGACCUAGACAGGAAGAAGAACAACAAAGGGUUCUUAUUAUUAGUAAAUGACUCUUUUGUUUUAUUUAUUUAGUGAAACAAACCUGAGUGCCCCUCUCCUGUGACCCCAUCUGAAUGACUAUUUUUUUCCUCUUGCCUUCAUCUAUUUAAUGCCUCCUCCUGCUUUGGCCUGGAAGAAGGAGAAUUUCCCAGAGCAGUGAAUUGCUGACUGAAUGCUCUCUUCCACUUCUGUCAAGAUUUGAAGUCCUCAUCCUGGGAAGAUGUUUUCAAACUCCUCCUCAUCUGUCUUUACUGAACUUGUGUUCUCUCUCAUUUUUAUCCCAUUGAUUUUUCUUUUUCCUUUGGUAGUAUCUUUCAAAAUUUGUUGUUUAUGCAUACCCUUAUCUGCAUAGUGAGAGGAAUGGUUAUUUCACCUCUUUAUUUCACAGUAUUCUUCCCAAACCCAUGUAAUUUCUCUGAAAUGAUUUUACUUUUUUUUUUUUUUUUCCUCAUUUUGCUAAAAUAUUAAGUAGCAUAGAGCUAUGACCUAGCCCUAGAGGAUAUUUUCUAGAAAUAUUGCUGCCUCUUUGUUUCCGCUUAUCUUUUAAAACCUAUUGAAGAACUAACUUUCUUACUUAAAAUGUGUGAAGCUGGGUUUGGUUUCACUCCCAUUUCUUAUGUGACUCAAAGUUGAAAGUUGUAGAAAAAUUCAGGAUCGUUAUUUCAGUGCUGCUGCCUUUAUCAGCUAAACUAAUCUAUUUCAAUAAAUAAUCAGUAUUGUUUGA